This 379-nucleotide ribosomal RNA is filed under the name uncultured eukaryote. RNAcentral describes it as "partial 18S ribosomal RNA". It matches the Rfam family "Eukaryotic small subunit ribosomal RNA", at positions 592 to 976 of the family's 1831-position model. The record is from RNAcentral.
CAAUAGCGUAUAUUAAAGUUGUUGCAGUUAAAAAGCUCGUAGUUGGAUUUCGGAUGGGACUUGCCGGUCCGUCGUUUCGAUGUGCACUGGCCAGUCCUAUCUUGUUGUCGGGGACUAGCUCCUGGGCUUCACUGUCCGGGACUAGGAGCUGACGAGGUUACUUUGAGUAAAUUAGAGUGUUCAAAGCAAGCCUACGCUCUGAAUACAUUAGCAUGGAAUAACACGAUAGGACUCUGGCUUAUCUUGUUGGUCUGUGAGACCAGAGUAAUGAUUAAGAGGGACAGUCGGGGGCAUUCGUAUUUCAUUGUCAGAGGUGAAAUUCUUGGAUCUAUGAAAGACGAACUUCUGCGAAAGCAUUUGUCAAGGAUGUUUUCAUUAA